This 256-nucleotide ribosomal RNA is filed under the name uncultured bacterium. RNAcentral's name for it is "partial 16S ribosomal RNA". It matches the Rfam family "Bacterial small subunit ribosomal RNA", at positions 524 to 776 of the family's 1533-position model. The record is from RNAcentral.
AACGAGUGGAGCAAGCGUUAUCCACACUGACUGGGCGUAAAGGGCACGUAGGCGGAUCACGGCAUGUGUGCUGUGAAAUCUUGUAGUAAAACUAUAAGAAUCGGUACUGACGGGUGAUCUUGAGUAAGGCUCAUGUUUAUAGCAUGCUAGUUGGAAGGGUGGAAUCUUGAUAUAGCUAGAGGAAUGCCGUAUUUGGUGAAGACGUUAUUCGAGAGUUUACUGACGCUGAGGUGCGAAAGCGUGGGGAUCAAAUAGG